Molecule: ribosomal RNA, 497 nt
Filed under: uncultured bacterium
Lineage: Bacteria
Description: partial 16S ribosomal RNA
Rfam family: Bacterial small subunit ribosomal RNA
Source: RNAcentral
GAUGAACGCUGGCGGCGUCCCUAAUACAUGCAAGUCGAGCGAACAGAUGGGGAGCUUGCUCCUCUGACGUUAGCGGCGGACGGGUGAGUAACACGUGGAUAACCUACCUAUAAGACUGGGAUAACUUCGGGAAACCGGAGCUAAUACCGGAUAAUAUAUUGAACCGCAUGGUUCAAUAGUGAAAGACGGUUUUGCUGUCACUUAUAGAUGGAUCCGCGCCGCAUUAGCUAGUUGGUAAGGUAACGGCUUACCAAGGCGACGAUGCGUAGCCGACCUGAGAGGGUGAUCGGCCACACUAGAACUGAGACACGGUCCAGACUCCUACGGGAGGCAGCAGUAGGGAAUCUUCCGCAAUGGGCGAAAGCCUGACGGAGCAACGCCGCGUGAGUGAUGAAGGUCUUCGGAUCGUAAAACUCUGUUAUUAGGGAAGAACAAAUGUGUAAGUAACUAUGCACGUCUUGACGGUACCUAAUCAGAAAGCCACGGCUAACUACGUG